This 1007-nucleotide long non-coding RNA is filed under the name Anolis carolinensis (green anole). RNAcentral's name for it is "lncRNA (ENSACAG00000038932.1)". The record is from RNAcentral. Lineage: Eukaryota; Metazoa; Chordata; Lepidosauria; Squamata; Anolidae.
GAAUCAUGUCCCAUCUGUGUUUGACCAGCAGCAAUUAAGACACCUGCUUUAGAUUGAGGGCUAUUAAUAGAGUCUGAGUAAGUCUUAUGUUAGUGUUGUUAAAGUGUUGUAUGUGGUGUUGUAAAGUGCAGUGUUGUAGUGUGUGCUGUGAUGGUGGCAAAGAUGGUAUUGCUGCUGAAGAGCUACUGAAGUGGAACCGAAGAGAGGAAAGGGAUGUCAGAGUUUUAUAUUAUUUGGGUCAUUUCUUAAGUGAAAAUGAAUAAGUGUUUGCAGGAAUCAUGUCCCAUCUGUGUUUGACCAGCAGCAAUUAAGACACCUGCUUUAGAUUGAGGGCUAUUAAUAGAGUCUGAGUAAGUCUUAUGUUAGUGUUGUUAAAGUGUUGUAUGUGGUGUUGUAAAGUGCAGUGUUGUAGUGUGUGCUGUGAUGGUGGCAAAGAUGGUAUUGCUGCUGAAGAGCUACUGAAGUGGAACCGAAGAGAGGUUUGAAGACGGAGAGUCCAGAGACCACAGAGGUUAAAGCUUGAAGAUAAGAAAGCUUUGUUUUGCUGCUGAUAAAAGCAAAGGACUGUGUUUUGUAUGUUUUGUUUAUAUAAAUCUUUCUUUACCAAAGGACAGUUUUGUUUUGGAGUUAUUCUCCUUGGACGAGGGUGCAACUUCCACAAAAGGGGUUGAGAGUUUGGAACCCAAUUGGCUAGCUGCGACAUGGGUUAUGGGCCCAGAACCAGAACCACCAGAAGAACCAGCACCAGUCCUGUUGUUUAGGAGAACCUGAAGGACUCUAAAACCCAGAACUCCUAAAGACUGUCAAGGUUGUAUUUGUUGAAAGAAAGAUUUUUUGAAAAAAAAUGUCUCUGAGCGGGAGUGGUGGUUUGCCACUGGAGAGACUAAAUUCUUCAAAUUACUCAUCGUGGGCAGUGAAACUAAAGUAUUUUCUCAUUAGAGAAAGCUUGUGGAAUGUUGUGGAGAAUCCUCUGGCAGCUGGGGUGAAUGCAGCGGAACUCAGAAAUG